Molecule: RNA transcript, 1943 nt
Organism: Pongo pygmaeus (Bornean orangutan)
Lineage: Eukaryota; Metazoa; Chordata; Mammalia; Primates; Hominidae
Gene name: protein N-terminal asparagine amidohydrolase-like
Exons: 12
Source: RefSeq, a predicted model, not a curated record
GGCUGCGGUGGGGGAAGCCGCCUCCUCCCAGGGCCUGCCUGGGCGGCCGCCUCCGCUAUGCCGCUGCUCGUCGAGGGGCGGCGAGUGAGGCUGCCGCAGUCAGCCGGGGACCUCGUCCGAGCCCAUCCGCCUUUGGAGGAAAGAGCCAGACUUCUCAGAGGUCAGUGUGUUCAACAAGUGGGACCCCAGGGCCUUCUCUAUGUUCAGCAAAGAGAGCUUGCAGUGACCUCCCCAAAGGAUGGCUCCAUCUCCAUUCUGGGUUCUGAUGAUGCCACUACUUGUCACAUUGUGGUCCUGAGGCACACAGGUAAUGGGGCCACCUGCUUGACACAUUGUGACGGAACCGACACCAAAGCUGAGGUCCCCUUGAUCAUGAACUCCAUAAAAUCCUUUUCUGACCACGCUCAAUGUGGAAGGCUGGAAGUGCACCUCGUUGGAGGCUUCAGUGACGACAGGCAGUUGUCACAAAAACUCACUCAUCAACUUCUUAGUGAAUUUGACAGGCAAGAAGAUGACAUUCACUUAGUGACAUUAUGUGUGACAGAAUUAAAUGACCGGGAAGAAAACGAAAACCACUUUCCAAUAAUAUAUGGCAUUGCUGUCAACAUUAAGACUGCAGAGAUUUACAGAGCCUCCUUUCAAGAUCGGGGUCCGGAGGAGCAGCUGCGUGCUGCGCGAACUUUAGCAGGAGGACCAAUAGCAGACCCCAUGUUAGCUGAAAUGGGGAAAAACUUGAAGGAGGCCAUGAAGAUGCUGGAGGACAGUCAGAGAAGAACAGAAGAGGAAAAUGGAAAGAAGCUCAUAUCCGGAGAUAUUCCAGGCCCACUCCAGGGCAGGUAUGAUCUCGUGAAACCUUGAGAGAAACUGAAUGGCGAAUGAAACUUUAUUGUUCCUGUUUCACACAGAAGAAAACUGAGGUGGUGAAGCUCUCUAUUGUCCUGACCCCACAGUUCCUGUCCCAUGACCAGGGCCAGCUCACCAAGGAGCUGCAGCAGCACGUAAAGUCAGUGACAUGCCCAUGCCAGUACCUGAGGAAGGUGAGUGAGUGCAGACAGAUGGUGCCUGGUGCCCUUGAACAGUCAGUGACAUCCCCCAUGCGAGUACCUGAGGAAGGUGAGUGAGUGCAGACAGGUGGGGCCUGGUGCCCUUGAGCACUUCCUGGGUCUCAGCUGCCACACGUCUCAUAGCGGGCGUUGCUUGGGGAAGCUUACACAGUCACAGUACUGGCUUCUUCUUCUUUUUCCUUCCAUACAAGUGGCUUAGGGAUGGGAUAGAGUAGUUGACUUAUUUGGAUAAAAACCACUAUCUUCUGUCAGAAACUCAAAAGGAAUCAUUGCUGGCAUGUUAGCCUAAAGAAAAACAACCAGACAAGUGCCCAGUGAUACUUAAAAAUGUUAUUUAUUAUCUUGCCAAAUUUAGGCUGGGCAUGGUGGCUCAUGCCUGUAAUCCCAGCACUUUGGGAGGCUGAGGCAGGUGGAUCACCUGAGGCCAGGAGUUCGAGACCAGCCUGACCAACAUGGCAAAACCUCAUCCCUACUAAAAAUACAAAAAUUAGCCGGGCAUGGUGGUGUGAGCCUGUAGUCCCAGCUACUCAGGAGGCUGAGACAGGAGAAUUGCUUAGACUCAGGAGGUGGAGGUUGUAGUGAGCCGAGUUCAUGCCAUCGCACUCCAGACUGUGCGACAGAGCGAGACUCUGUCAAAAAAAAAAAAAAAAAAAAAAAUUAUCCUGCAAAAUUUGAAAAGGAAAUCCAAAUCAACAGCUUCUAAACUAUUUUUUAACAUGACUCAUAAUAAGAAAUACAUUCUGUAUUUACAUAUAUAUGUUCUAUAUUUUUGAAGAAAAGAAUUAACCAAAUCAUAUUUAUUUUACAUGUAAUACAUAUUUUUUAUUUUCCUUCAUUUGUUUUGAAUGCUCUGUGCAAUCUACAAAAAGUCCAAUAGUA